CAACGUUUGGUGAAUAUUGAUCACUUUGUUGGUACAAUUUGAAAAUAUUUAACCAACUCAUAUGCGUUGAGUUGGUCAACGCUUAAACUACCAUUAGUUGGGUAACUGUAUCUAUUUAUUGGGUAACUAGUUUAAGCCCAACUGAGAUGGUUGAUGCCACCCUAGAUGUUGGGACUUUGGGGAAAAUUGACACCAUCUCUUGGUGAAAAUAUUUUGCCGUUAUUUAUUGACCAACAGAUGGUCUACUGUUCUCCAUCCUAUUGGGUGAAAUGCCUAUAGGUUUAAAUUACCCAACCGAGAUGGUUGAUGCCACCCUACUUGUUGGGACUGUGGAACAAAUCUAUACCAUCUCUUGGUGAAAAUAAUUGGCCGUUAUUUAUUGACCAACGGAUGAUCUGUUGUUCUCCAUCCUAUUGGGUGAACUGUAGACUUAGGCCUACCCAACAACCGAGAUGGUUAAUGCAUCCUUACUUGUUUGGGAGUGUGGAACAAACUUACACCAUCUGUUGGUGAAAAUGGCCGUUAUUUAUUGACCAACGGAUCUCCAUUCUAUUGGGUGAACUGUCUGUUGGUUCAUAUAACCCAACCGAAAUGGCCUCCCAAGUUGUUGGGAUAGACUUACAACAUUAUUAUGUGAGACUAAAAUCUAUAAGUAAUAUAAUAAUAAUCAAAGCACUUAUUAUUAGCGUUCUUAUGCAAAGGUAUCGCAACGCUUUACAUUAAUGUAUUAUAAUGAUUGUGGUAAUUACAUUUUAUAGUGCGGCCACGAUAACUUGGAUGUGUUCCAAAAAAUAAGUAAAUAUCUUCUCUACGAGAUGGGAAAAUCUCGAAUUUUUGCACUUUUUAAGUGUUUUUUUUAACCAUCAGAUUGGGAGACUGCAGUGGAAAAUUCCAAUGCCAUCACACAGCGUGCCAAACAAAGCGCGCGACGCGCUUUGCCGCCGACUAGCUGGUGUUAAAAAUAAAAGCAAAGCCGUACGUAUAAUGUACUUGUGUAGCACUAGUAGAAUGGAGGCGGUCAUGGUGGACAAGUCAGUUGGUGAGUUACUAGAAUCAUGGGGAGUAGGACAUCUGUUGAAUGUUUUUGAAGAGAAUCAGAUAGACAAAGCAGCUUUGGAGUUGCUUGACGAGGCAUCAAUACAAGAACUGAUACCAAAGAUUGGCACCCGACUCAAAUUUCUAAGAGGUUGGAGAUCGGAAUUGAGAAGAAUAAUUUAGCACUUCUAGUUCUGCCGGUACUACUUGGAGGAAGGGCUAAAGGCAAGUCUGGUGGACGGUGUGCUUUAGCACAGAGCUUGACAUCUUUCAUCCACCUCAAACCGGUUACAACCAACAUCGAGCAGUAUCUGGGGAACAUCAGUGAGAAGGACAAACCACAGCCCUACAUACUUGGCCUCUUUACUGGGAACAAGUUGCUGCCAAGCCAGACAUUUGUGGUAAUUGAAAGGCGUGCAGUGGAGUCUUCUUCAUUGCUUGAUGCAGUAGACAUUGCUUUUAAGGCGCAUUAUGUGCUAAAUCUCAGUUAUCAAGUGUCUGUUAAGGCAGUCUAGGAAUUUUUGCAGUGUGUUGUUUACAACCUGCCAGGAACCGCUCGCCCAGCAGUGCGCGAUAUCAGAGCUUUUCUGAUGAAUCACACAAAAAAUUCUGCUCAAAAGUAAUGAAAAGCACUUCUUUGGUUUUCAAAGACUAAUGGACGCCAAAUUUCUGUAAUUUUCAAGUUCCUUGUUCUCUAAAAAUGUUCAGUUAUCUCAGGAAUAAUUUAUCAGGCUGAUUUAAAUCUAAACGUUUACCAACUUCAGUAGUCUGAUGUUUUCAAUCAGUUUUUUUUUUUAAGAUUCAGGAUCAUUUAAGUUUCAGGAUCUCAUGACAAAUAUAUAAGUUAAAUUCAUUACAAGUUUGUUUUCAUUUUUUGUUUUUUAUACAUCAGUUUAAAAAAAUAAUGGACCCCAAAUUUCUGUAGUCUUGUUCUCCAAAAAUGUUACUGGUUCUAUAAAGAUGGGUAUGAUGUCGCAAAAGUUGGAUUGCUCAUAUAAGCUUCAAUUUGGUAUUAUACAAAUAACAUUGUUUGGAGGAUUGUUAGAUGAUAUUAGUUCCCCAAGGAAGUUGACAAACUACCAAGUACUUCAUCAACUUCCAACCCAUAAAAACAUGUUAUUAUUAUUUUUAUUAUACCUCAUACAUAUUCAGUGACAAUAACAACGUCGUGUUUAUCACUACUGGUUCGAACAUUCUUUAGCAAAACAACAUUGUAAAAACUCAUCCAAUUCAGUCACUGUAUACUGCUCCACAACUUUCACUUCAGUAUUUGUUUAAUACCAAAGUAGUGCAAGCUAACUUGAAUUACUUUUUGAAAUGAUAAAGCAUCUUUAUUAUCCUAGUAAGCCUAUUUCCAUAAUUUAUAACAAAAUGCUUGGAAAAUGCUUUUUUUUGCAAGUGUACAUGGCCAAAAACACUAGCAUUACUUCCUUUAGAGGAUAUGAUAGUCUUUACAGUAUGAGCAUGCGCACUUGCCACAUCCAAUCUUUUUCACAAAUAUUAAAUCAUCUCAGGAAUAAUUUAUCAGAAUGAUUUAAAUUUAAAGUUUUACAAACUUCAAUAAUCUGCUGCAAUUAGUUUGUUUCUGAUGAUGUACCAAUCAUUUGAGUGUAAGGAUCUCAUACCAGUAUAAUAGUUAAUUGUUGUCAUGUUUAUCAAAAGAGUGUAUCAUUAUAGUUUGUUUAAAAGGCAGAUUUUCUGUGCUAGCAAAGUAAGUGAGAAAUCCUUCAUUACCUGAAGUGUGUACACGCACAAGUAGAAUAGUCUUUGCUAACCCAUAAUUAUGCUUACACAGGCAUAGAAUAUUCGUCUAGUGUAAUUGCCAGUAUUUUGAUUAAUGACGGUAAGCAGUGUCAUUAAAUUGGGCUCUGUCUUCACAGUUAAUCUAAUCGAUGGCAUAAGAUUCCUCAUAUAUAUGCAAGUAGUUUUAAACUGAACAGGUAUGUUUUUACUCUUGCCUGCUUUGUUCGUUUGUACAGAGAAGGAUUUUAUCCAAAUUGGUUUGGUGUUUAAGAGCUCGAGAUUGACCAUAUAUUUUGUUAUCAAAGAAAGUUAUUAUGUAUAAUUUUGUUAAAAAAUGUCAUACAAGACUUAUUAAAACUCUUGUAAAUGA
Molecule: long non-coding RNA, 3148 nt
Organism: Asterias rubens (European starfish)
Lineage: Eukaryota; Metazoa; Echinodermata; Asteroidea; Forcipulatida; Asteriidae
Exons: 4
Source: RefSeq, a predicted model, not a curated record